CCAAUAGCGUAUAUUAAAGUUGUUGCAGUUAAAAAGCUCGUAGUUGAAUUUCGGGGUCAGUAGUUUGGUCAUGCCACAGGUAUGUACUGAUCUUACUGAUUCCUCCUUCCUGAUGAACCGUAAUGCCAUUAAUUUGGUGUUGCGGGGAAACUGGACUGUUACUUUGAAAAAAUUAGAGUGUUUAAAGCAGGCUAACGCUUGAAUACAUUAGCAUGGAAUAAUGAAAUAGGACGUUCGAUCCUAUUUUGUUGGUUUCUAGGAUUGACGUAAUGAUUAAUAGGGAUAGUUGGGGGCAUUAGUAUUCAAUUGUCAGAGGUGAAAUUCUUGGAUUUAUUGAAGACUAACUACUGCGAAAGCAUUUGCCAAGGAUGUUUUCAUUAAUCAAGAACGAAAGUUAGGGGAUCGAAGACGAUCAGAUACCGUCGUAGUCUUAACCAUAAACUAUGCCGACUAGGGAUCGGAUGAUGUUAAUUUUUUAAUGACUCAUUCGGCGCCUUACG
RNAcentral lists this ribosomal RNA (500 nucleotides) under uncultured Glomeromycotina. Its description in RNAcentral is "partial small subunit ribosomal RNA". It matches the Rfam family "Eukaryotic small subunit ribosomal RNA", at positions 591 to 1092 of the family's 1831-position model. The record is from RNAcentral. Lineage: Eukaryota; Fungi; Glomeromycota.